Molecule: transfer RNA, 65 nt
Filed under: Appendiseta robiniae
Lineage: Eukaryota; Metazoa; Arthropoda; Insecta; Hemiptera; Aphididae
Description: tRNA-Asp
Source: RNAcentral
AAAGAAUUUAGUUAAAUAGAUAACAUUAAUUUGUCAAAUUAAAUUUAUACAAUUAUAUAAUUCUU